Molecule: non-coding RNA, 259 nt
Organism: Pelobates cultripes (western spadefoot toad)
Lineage: Eukaryota; Metazoa; Chordata; Amphibia; Anura; Pelobatidae
Source: the annotation of a GenBank genome assembly
UACAUCGCCAGUCCGGCACCUGUUGAUCGUGGCUCCUCUAUCGCCAUCCCAACCAUAGUUCUCUUUUCUUCAGGAGAUGGUUAUCAACCUUCCAUCUCUCGAGUGCCUUCUUCAGGAUCCAGAUGGUGUACCUCAUCCUCUUGUUCUCCAAGGUCUCUUACAUCUCAUAGUGUAGUCUAUUUCAGGGAACCUUGGUCGGUCAAGGGAGUUUCGCAAUCAACUCCCCAACCUAUCAAGGGUGCACCCAACACGAGACAGG